CAUGAUGCACGCCUUGAUAGCUCUACCUCAAGUCGACGCACGCAAUGCCAUUCCUUCCCUUGCUGGGAUGCCUAGGUGCCAUGGCGACACCAUGACAACUAUGCUCCUAACUAGUGUAACAAUACUUAUCGCUUGAAAUUGAUAUUGAGUCAAAAAAUAACUUUCCGAAACACAUGUCACUACCUCAACUUUAAACCUUGGUGGGAACAAAAGAUACAUAUCCUAUGAUGCUUUCGCAAGACUUUCCCUCCCACCACUUUUUGUGUUAAUAAGAGACUCUAAACCCUAGAAUUUAAGCACAAAGCUUAGAUCCUAGUUCUACAUAUCUAUCAAUUAAUAACAAAAUUCAUUCUACAAAGGUUGUCCUACAUCACCAAUGGUUACAGCUAAAAGUGGGCUUCACAUCCAAAGUGCUUAACUUCAUAUUUUUUCAAGUCUCCCUUCCUAGUACAACUACCAACCUGGCUACUACAAUGCUGGUUCAAAUCUUCCCCAUACUUUUACAUCCUCAGCCUUGAUAAGUAUUCUCAAAGCUUUUAUUGGUCUCACAGUCUCACCCUUAUUUGGUUGUGUUAACCAUUUGGCUCGAAGUGCCAUAGACAGGUAUGGCAUGUGAAUAAAGGAGAUA
This 628-nucleotide long non-coding RNA is filed under the name Panax ginseng (ginseng). RNAcentral describes it as "long non-coding RNA (PGIN_LNC000059)". The record is from RNAcentral. Lineage: Eukaryota; Viridiplantae; Streptophyta; Magnoliopsida; Apiales; Araliaceae.